CGCGAAGAACCUUACCUGGUCUUGGCAUCCACAGAACAUUCCAGAGAUGGGAUGGUGCCUUCGGGAACUGUGAGACAGGUGCUGCAUGGCUGUCGUCAGCUCGUGUUGUGAAAUGUUGGGUUAAGUCCCGCAACGAGCGCAACCCUUAUCCUUUGUUGCCAGCGGUCCGGCCGGGAACUCAAAGGAGACUGCCAGUGAUAAACUGGAGGAAGGUGGGGAUGACGUCAAGUCAUCAUGGCCCUUACGACCAGGGCUACACACAUGCUACAAUGGCGCAUACAAAGAGAAGCGACCUCGCGAGAGCAAGCGGACCUCAUAAAGUGCGUCGUAGUCCGGAUUGGAGUCUGCAACUCGACUCCAUGAAGUCGGAAUCGCUAGUAAUCGUGGAUCAGAAUGCCACGGUGAAUACGUUCCCGGGUCUUGUACACACC
RNAcentral lists this ribosomal RNA (431 nucleotides) under uncultured bacterium. Its description in RNAcentral is "bacterial SSU rRNA". It matches the Rfam family "Bacterial small subunit ribosomal RNA", at positions 960 to 1391 of the family's 1533-position model. The record is from RNAcentral.